RNAcentral lists this ribosomal RNA (253 nucleotides) under uncultured bacterium. RNAcentral describes it as "partial 16S ribosomal RNA". It matches the Rfam family "Bacterial small subunit ribosomal RNA", at positions 524 to 776 of the family's 1533-position model. The record is from RNAcentral.
UACGUAGGGUGCGAGCGUUAAUCGGAAUUACUGGGCGUAAAGAGUGCGCAGGCGGUCUUGCAAGACAGGUGUGAAAUCCCCGGGCUUAACCUGGGAAUUGCAUUUGUGACUGCACGGCUAGAGUGUGUCAGAGGGGGGUAGAAUUCCACGUGUAGCAGUGAAAUGCGUAGAUAUGUGGAGGAAUACCGAUGGCGAAGGCAGCCCCCUGGGAUAACACUGACGCUCAUGCACGAAAGCGUGGGGAGCAAACAGG